AACGAACGCUGGCGGCAUGCCUAACACAUGCAAGUCGAACGAGACCUUCGGGUCUAGUGGCGCACGGGUGCGUAACGCGUGGGAACCUGCCCUUAGGUUCGGAAUAACUCCCCGAAAGGGGUGCUAAUACCGGAUAAUGUCUUCGGACCAAAGAUUUAUCGCCUUUGGAUGGGCCCGCGUUGGCUUAGCUAGUUGGUAGGGUAAAAGCCUACCAAGGGGACGAUCAAUAGCUGGUCUGAGAGGAUGAUCAGCCACACUGGGACUGAGACACGGCCCAGACUCCUACGGGAGGCAGAAGUGGGGAAUAUUGGACAAUGGGCGAGAGCCUGAUCCAGCAAUGCCGCGUGAGUGAUGAAGGCCUUAGGGUUGUAAAGCUCUUUUACCCGGGAUGAUAAUGACAGUACCGGGAGAAUAAGCGCCGGCUAACUCC
RNAcentral lists this ribosomal RNA (430 nucleotides) under uncultured bacterium. Its description in RNAcentral is "partial 16S ribosomal RNA". It matches the Rfam family "Bacterial small subunit ribosomal RNA", at positions 29 to 504 of the family's 1533-position model. The record is from RNAcentral.